RNAcentral lists this long non-coding RNA (13518 nucleotides) under Vitis vinifera (wine grape). RNAcentral's name for it is "long non-coding RNA (VVIN_LNC007891)". Lineage: Eukaryota; Viridiplantae; Streptophyta; Magnoliopsida; Vitales; Vitaceae. The record is from RNAcentral.
CCUUCAACCGUCGGAUUUGUCUGGCUCGUACAUUAUUUUACAACACGUCAUACUUAGACAUCAGUCAAAAUAUUACACUUAUUAUAGAGGACCUUCAGAUUUCUUGACUCGCACAUUAUUUUAUAGUACAAAGAAACUAACGUCAUAUUUUGACUGAUGAACACCCUUGCUUGCUGCAGCUUCUUCUCAAGGUUUCGCCUUCAAUACUUAGGCUUGACAUUAAGACGAGAAGCAAGCUUCUGACCCAGAGACCUGUCAGCCUGUACCCAUCCCAACAAUCCAAACACAAAAUGCAUUAAUAUUACCUACAUGUUAAAUGGCUCUACUCCAUCUGCAUUUAAUGGUUGGUGUGACACAAGGACUAUAAACCUACGAGUGUAAUAUCAUAACUGCGGAUGAUUAAGAUGCCAAAUCAAGAUUUAAAGUAUGAAAUGACUUAUGGUUGUGCAGCAUAUACAAGUUUUGUACAGUAGAAAAUUAAUCAGUAUCUACACAGAAGGAUUGGAGUUCCACCUGAGACCAAUAUGAAAUCCAGAUACUGCGGAUCUCAUAGGUGACCCUUGGAUCAGACAAGGUCUCAACCCAUCUGUUGAUGAAACGCUCUUGCCUAAAAGGAAGAUAAAAAUAAGAAACAAAACAAAUUGCAUUAAAGGAGAACUAGUUAAAAAGAUGCUCCGUCGUAAAAUUCAAGUAAAUUUGAAAACCAAGGAUAUACCUGUCCGGUGCAAAUGAACGGUAUCUCUCACCAGGCUGCUUGAAAUUGUUCUCCUUCUCAAUGACGACCUGUGAUGUUGAAAACAAAUAUUAGCACAUGGCCAUCAUCAUAAUAAAUUUAACUAGUUCAUAAGCACAAGUUAAACUGCUCCAAUCAUCUAAAGAACAAAAAGAUCCAGACACCACUGGUUCAGAGACUGAACAUUUAGAAUGAAAAGAAACCAGCAUUUGAAUCAAUUUGGUCCAAGAAAAAUCAUGACCAUUCAGGCAAACUGGUAGGAUACUGCAACUCAAUUGGAAUCCAAGUGGACCCCUUUUCUAGUUCAACUUCUAAGCCAGCUUCAAAUAUGGAAGAUAAUGCAGAAAAAGCAAACCUUCUCACGCUUGCCAUGGCAAAUAGUAGAAGGAAUAGGGAAUGUCUCCGCAUGACGAACAGGAUCAAACCUUGAAGGGAAGUAGUCGACCUAAGAAACACCAUUCAUCAGAAAAAUAACCCACAGGCAACAUAAAAUAGUCCGCCACCUUCCGAGAGAGAAAGAGAGAGAGAGAGAGAGAGAGAGAGAGAGAGAGAGAGAGAACCUCCUCAUCCCUGUGCAUGAAAUUCAUGGAACCGUCAUGGUGAUUGUUGUGAAAAGCACACUUGGGUGCAUUUACUGGAAGCUGCAGAUAGUUCGGUCCAAGGCGGUGCCUCUGAGUAUCAGAAUAGGCAAAGAUUCUACCUUGGAGCAUUUUAUCAUUUGUGUAAUAUAUACCAGGUACAACAAGAGCUGGGUUGAAGGCAAGCAUCUCAUUCUCAGCAAAGAAAUUAUCUAUGUUCUUGUUUAAUACCAACCGGCCCACUGGCUGCAAGGGCAAGAUAUCCUCAGGCCAAGUCUUGGUAACAUCAAGUGGAUCAAAGUCAAACUUGUCUUCAUGUUCAGGAUCCAUCGUCUGGAUGAAAAGCUUCCACUCAGGAUAGUUUCCAGCCUUGAUCGAGUCAUAGAGAUCCUGAGUAGCAUGACUGUGGUUAGUUCCUCCAACUCUUAUGGCUUCAUCCUCCAACAAACACUUGACUCCACACGUGGGUUUCCAGUGGAACUUCACAUAAUUUGCCUUCCCAGCCUUGUUGAUUAGAGUGAAGGUGUGAACACCAAAGCCUUCCAUGUGCCUAUAGUCCUGUGGGACACCCACAUCAUCGAAGAGGAAGGCAAAUGUGCUCAAGCUUUCUGGAUGGUAGGACAAGAAGUCAACAACUCUCCAAUACUCCUGGAUAUGGGACUUCGGAUUGGGUUUGAAAGCAUGGAUCACAUCAGGGAACUUCAUUGCAUCACGAAUAAAGAAGACUGGGAAAUUGUUUCCCACCAUAUCAAAAUUGCCCUGAUGCCAACAAGGUUUAAGAUUGAGCAAAUUAGUAAGUUAUUUCCUUUCAAAUGCAUCAAAUAAUUAACUACUCAGAUUUUUAUGAUGGAAACCUCAGUAAGAAAUACACAAUUCCAUCUUUCAAAUAACUCAAACAAAAGAAGAAUAGAUUCCAUGCAUACAGUUUGCCUAUAUGAAAAUACACACAAAGUUCAGUCUCUACCAGUCCAUAGUGACAUGCAUCAAUUAGAGUAUCUUCUCUCUCCCUCUAUCUUUGAGAAAACACACAACCAACAUGUACAAAGAGUACAACUAAGAUAUCAUCAGACAACAUGGACAUUGGUUACAAAGUUCUUCAGCAACAGACAUGAGACCUGAGGACGCAUACUGUAAAAAUGCAGAAUGACAUGCCUUCCAAGCACACAUUUCCUUCAUGGAACCAUAACCACAAGAAUUUAAAAACAACAGUCUAAUGCAUAUAAAUUGGCAAAAAACACCCUGUUUAUAUAAAUAACCUCCAAAUAUAAAACCUUUUUCUGAGCAUUGAGGUUGCAAUUAUGUAACGGAAUGAGUUUUCAAGGACUCACUUAAAAAUUUAUGGAGUGAUUGGAAAAUGAAGCUCUUUUUGAGAAUUUGUAAAUGAAAAACUUGAAAAGCCAACUGGAAAGACUCCUUAAUGAGAGAAGAAUUACUUAUUAAGCUAGUUCAGUUACCUCUCUAGUAUAGAACUUCACAGCAAAACCUCGAGGGUCCCUUAUGGUCUCAGGGCUGCCACGCUCGUGGAUAACAGUGGAAAACCUAACAAUAACUGGAGUCUGCACUCCAGGGGCACGAAGAAAAUCAGCACAUGUGAGGUCAGAGACAUCGUGAGUGACCUCAAAAAACCCUUUAGCACUAGCUCCUCUAGCAUGGACCACACGUUCUGGAAUGCGUUCUCUUUGAAAAUUUGCAAGCUUCUCCACCAAAUGAUAAUCCUCAAGAAGAACUGGGCCUGUAAAAAAAAGUGUGCAAAACUCUUAGUUUGUGCUUAAAAAAUGGCAUUUCUGAUUAUAUAUUGAAAUUUUCUAUAAUAAGGGCAUUUCUGAUCAUAUAUUGAAAUUUUCUAUAACAAAUUGGAUGGGCCGGUCCAACAGGUUGGACCGCUAAUAGGAGCCUAAUCCAGUCCAGUUCGCCCUUUGAGUCGGGGAACCUAUUGAACCUUAUCGGUUUGAGCCUGGGUAUUCUCUUUAAUUUCCUAAUAAAACAGGCCUAUGAUUGGGCUGGGCCUCUUGCCUCAUUAUGGAUGAGCUGGGACCCCAUUAUGGAUGAGCUGGGACCCCAUUAUUUGACAAUAUAAAGCCUCUAAUAUGUCCAUCAGAUUUUGAUGCGGGACUAAACUGAUGGGACAGUGAAGAAAAAUUCAUGUGGAAAAAGGAUGCAAGAUAAGGAUUUGAACAAACAACCUGGAGGUUAAAUCACAAGCCUAAUUCCACUCUGUUGUGCCCAUCUAAAAACAUCACCGAUCCAACUGCGGGUGGAUCACUGGUACCAAUCCAACUACGGGUGGACCAUCGGUAUCGAUCCACCUACGGGUGGACCACCGACACCGAUCCAAUUGAGACUAGAUCACCGAUACUGAUCCAACUGCAGCUAGACCACCAUACCGAUCCAACUGCGGUUAGACCACCAUACCAACAGCGAUUGGACCACCGAUUCAUGUUUUAAAUGCAUUUUUGAAAAAUUGACAUUCGAGCUAGAACUUCAAAAAUGAUCUAAACUAAAAAUCCAAAGGAACUAGAAAGGAAGUAAAAUUUAAUAACUUUCAAUAAAUUUCUUCAGAUUUAAAUAUCAUAUAUGUUUUAUUUAAUAAAAUGGUAAAAUAUUGAUACAUCUAUCUAUUUAAUUUAUUAAUAUUAAAAUAAAAAAUAAAAUAUUAGUGAUCUUUAAUUUCUUUAUAUAUAUUUUUUAAAAAUUAUAAAUAUUUUAAUUUUAAUAAUAUAUAAAUUAUAUAUUUAUGAUAUCGGAUCCAACUGAGAUCGAACCAUCAGCACGGAUCCAACUGCGGCCGAACACCAUACCGGUCCGACCACCAUACCGAUCCAACUGUACCGAUCAUUUUAAAUGCAUUUUUGUAAAAUUGACAUCUGAGUUAUAACUUCAAAAAUAAUCUAAACUAAAAAUCCAAAGGAACUAGAAAGGAAGGAACAGAAAUUAGAGUAGGUGAUAUAUGCUGUACAAACAGGUGAUCAUGAAACCUGAUAGGGGCGGUAAAUGAAAAGCGAUAGCCUAAAUUUCAAUCUUCUAAUUGUGGGAAGCUAUUUGCCUCCAGAUGAACUUGUAGAAAGGAACGUACUGGAAUGUUCUCUGCAUCUUGAGAAGGAAUCCAUGACGGUGAAGUACCACCCAGAUCAACCAAAUUCUAACUGAAGGAUUCAUAGAUUAUGGAAUACCAACAACUACAUGUACAGAGUAAUGGACCACUAUACCUCUUGAUCCAACGGUGAGCGACGAGUCAUUGUUAUAAACAGGCGCACCAGCAUUUGUGGUGAAGUAAGGAGAAUUAUAGGCGCUUGAAGGACGAUACUGCACCAAAUAAGGAAAGAAAAUAUAAUCAGCUUGAAUUCUGCGUGCUUUAAAAAAAGAAAAGUCUGAAAAAUCUAGCAUCAAAGUUUCCUUUUUCUUUCAUCUUCCUCCGAUUUCUCAGCAACCAAAGAAAAAGAUCGGAUGAAAAGCAAACAGGUUGGAGAGAGAUGAGAGCAGAUGGGCACCUUGUAAGGAUCCAUUGUGAUCAGCUGCGUUGAUGAGGCAGGGUCUCUGAAAAUCGGAUGAGCAGAGAGCUCACUCCCCUCGUCUAUUUAUUUCCAUUUUUACGGGAGAGACGCGUGUGGACGACUCGUGUGGAUACGCGUGGCCAUCACGAAACAUUAUUUUAAAAUAUCUAUCUAUUUUAAGGCUCUCUCUAGCAGACAGAAUUCAACGCAAUGAGAUAUGAUAAGAUCUCCACGUUGUCCACUAGAUGCUAAACGAUGAAAUAUGAUGGGACUCAUCGUUAUCUUUACGUAGAAAAUGUAUACCCAUGACAUGAGAUGUAUUAUAAAUUUAUAAUCACUUAUAUUUGAUUUAUAAAAUAAAAUGUAUAUUAUUUUUAAUGUCUUACUACUAAAAAAAUAUGUAAAAUUUCUUUUAAUUUAAUAGUACUCAUAAUUAAAAUAUUUAAAUUAUAUGGUUUAAUAUAUAAAAAUAUUUUUUAUAUAUUAAAUAAUACAUUUAUUAGUAUUAUUUUACGAUAUAUUUUAUAAAUACUUAUUUCUUCUUUUUAAUUCCAAUUUUAUUCUUUUAUUUUAUAAAAUAAGUAACAUAAAAAAAUAAAAAUAUUAAGAUUAAUCUAAAUAUCUCUUAUUUAUUAUGAUUUAUAAUAUUUUUUAUUAUCAAGGGAUGGUUUUGUAAAACUUAAUACUUAUUAUUGUGACUUUAAGAUAAAUUAUAUUUAAAUUAUUAACUUAAAAUUUAUUACUUUUAAGUAUUAAGUUUGUUUGAAAAAAUUGACUUAAAAUUUAUUCUAUAUUAUCAGAUUCAUAUAUUUAUCUUUAUAAAUUAUAAUUAAGGUAAAAAAGGUUAAAUAAGAGUGAAAGUUAUAAAGUAGUAAAUAAUAAUGAAGAAGAUCAUUUGAGUAAAAUGGUAAAAUAAAAAUAAAAAUAUAAAAAUAAGUUAAUAUUAUUUUUACUUAUUACUUAAAGUUAUUUUUUACUUUUAACCAUUAAAUUAUUUUAUCAAAUAUAUUUAAUUAUAAGUUUCAAUUGACAAUCAAGUCACUACCUAAAUUAAUAUAAUAAUGAUAAUUUACUUAUUAACCUAAAAUAUAUUUUCAUUAUAAUAUUAUAAAAAUUUAAUGAAUAAUUAUUAUCUUGAAUUAAUUUCACUCUUAAUUGUUAUACUUCUCACAUCUUUAAUUACAUUUUUUUCAUUUUAGAUUGUGGUUUUUAAAAAAAUAUUUUUUCCUUGUUACAUAAAUUUCUCAUGAGAAGAGAAUCAUCCAUUAAAAAAAAGCACUAAAUUAGAAAAGGUUAUUCGAUUAAAAAAAAAAGUAUUGAAAACCCAAUUUUAAAAAUCUAAUAUUUAAUAUUUUUUAUCAUAAUUAGAUUAAAACGUUCUUAUUUUAUUUUUUUAUCAGAAUUUAACUAAAGUGUCUUUAUUUUUUUAUUUUUGUUGUGAAAAUAAUUUUUUAAAAUAUCUUUAUAAAUAUUUUAAAUAAUAAAAAAUAUUUAUAUUAAAAAUAAGUUACUCUAAAAAAAAUAAAGGUUACUAUUCGCAACAUCCAUUUUGCUAAAUGUAACACAUUUUUGUCAUAUAUUUUUCCACAUAUACCAUUUUUAAUAAAUAACUAUCUAUAACCUCUUUUCAACAUAUUAAAUCUAAAUUCUAGUUGAUUAAUGUUGUAAAUCACAUACGAAAUUGUAGACCCCCCCCCUGAGGCUGCGAAGCGGGGGGGAGUUUCUUUGCUUUUUUUCUUUUUUUCUCAGGCGGCUGAUGGGAGGUUGGCUCGGGUAGAGAAGUGCGGUUGAUGGCAGGAAGCAAGCAGUGACUUGCUGAGGAAGACUCAAAACAGGAGAAGCUAAAAAGAAAAGAGGAAAAGGAAGGAAGGGGGGGGGGGGGGGGAAAUCUGCCAAAAGGAGGGGGACUUUUCUGGAGCAAAAGACAUCCGUGCGGGUGAGAUUCAGCGAGAGAGCAGAGGAGGCUGGGCUGGUGAAGACAGGGAGCANNNNNNNNNNNNNNNNNNNNNNNNNNNNNNNNNNNNNNNNNNNNNNNNNNNNNNNNNNNNNNNNNNNNNNNNNNNNNNNNNNNNNNNNNNNNNNNNNNNNGGGGGGGGGGAGCAAGGAAAAAAAAGAUCCGAAGACCCACUCACCCUGAUUCCUCUUGGCUCAGGUAUGAUUUUAAUCUAUUUUGCUUCCUCCUGUUUUGAACUGUUCUCCUCUGUUUUCAGUCAUUUGCGGAUUCCUUUGACAUUUGGAGACCACUUGUGCAUUUUGCUUCCUGUUUUGGAAUAUUCUAAGUGUAGAUUUGUCAUUGCAUUUGAUUUUUGAGGAUCAUGCCCAUGUUUUUCUUUUGGUUCUACCUAAAUCCCUCCCAUCGGCAUCUGUGGAAUGGGGCAAGACCCAACAGUUUUCUUUUACGUAUAUAUGCAUGCUCUGUUUUCUUCUCAUAUUUUUCUGUUAAGUUUUUUGAAUGUUGAGUGCCGCACUUUGCAUUUGGUCACCUGGGCCGAGGUGCCUACGGGAAAACACAAGUCCACUCCAUAGAUGCAGCCGCAUGAGAAGUCAAGGAGUGGACCCUCAUGGAAAAAAUGAGCCAUGUCAAGCAACUUUUCACCAGGCUUGAGAAGGACAUCAGAUUCAGCUAUUUUCGAGUUCGAUGUGCUAGGCUAUUAUCAGUGACAUUGUUUUGGUCCGCUGUGCUGGGUGCUUAUGCCACUUGCCAGCUGAUCAAUAUUCGCAUCAAGGAAAGACAUAGAUCGAAACCGUUGCAUCGAAUUUUAGAGAAACAAGCCUUUUGAUUAGAUAUAUUUCAGCCCUGCAUCAGUCCAUCACCCCCAUGACCCUUGUUAGCUAUGUUGACAUGCAUGCCGUAAACACUAUGGAGAUGAUUUUCAUCAUUUUCUACAUGCUAUUCAACUCCUCUUCCAUGCAAAACCAUUUUUUUCUUAAAUCCCAUGCAUGCCACCACCUUUAUGGGACCCUACAUCAUCACCUCUCUAUACCAAAUCCAUCAUACCCAUUUUCUCUCACUAACCUCUACUUCUCCUCCCGUCAUUCCUAACCUUUGUCUUCAUACCCAUAUUUCAAUACCCACAAAACUGUUUCUCUCUCUAUCUUCUACCACUCAUCUCACCACUCAUAACCCUCACCUUCACCCCAUGCAAAUGCCCAAAUACCCCACUUACCCAUCUUUUGUUCCCGCCACCUUUCCUCUCUCUAUCACCACCUACCCAUUUUCUCACCUCAUGCCCACUAUACUCAAGGCCAAUCUCAUGCACUGGUAGAUAUAUAUGCAAGGCACGGAGAUGAAGCUGUUGGAUGUUUUUUUGAAAUGCUCAACUAAGGGAUAAAAGCAAAUGACGUUUGUCUUCAUGGGUUUGUUUACAAUAUGUAUUCAUGCAAGGUUAGGUUGGUAAGGAGCUGUUUCAAUGCUAUAGAAAAGGAGUUCAUUCACUUACAUCUAAGGCCCCACGUGUAUUGGGUUGAUGGGAAAAUGGGUUUGUGGCUUUUUUUUUUAUUAUUUGUUUGUUUGCUUUUCUUAAGUACACGCCUGUUUUCCAUGCUAAGGUCAUUCCUAUUUUUAUCAUUUUCUUGGUUUUUUCCAACUUUUGAUGCCAAAGAUUCAUUUUCAAAAUUUUAUUUUUAAUUUAAUUAUUUAAAAAAACUCCCAUUAAAAAAAAUAUAUAUAUAUGUAUAUAUAGUUUUCAAAACUUUGACCUCCCAAACUUUAAUUAUUUUAUUUAUUUAUUUAUUUAUUUUUAAAUUUUCAUCCUUAAAAUAAUUUUUCGGGUUUCCACUUUUCAAAAUUUAAUUUUCCGAUGUUCCGUCCUUAAAAUAAUUUUUCGGGUUUCCACUUUUCGAAAUUUAAUUUUCCGACAUUCCAUCUCUAAAUAAUUCUUCAAUUUUCCAAUUCUUAAGUUCACUUCCCAAUUUUCACAAUUAUUUACCUAAUCAUUAUUACUAUUUUUCCAUUCGUUUAUCCAUUCACUUAUUCUUUUAUUUAAAAUCUCAUUUCUAAAUAACUCUUCAAACUUUCAAUCUCAAAUAUUUCACUAUUCACGGUCAUUCGUUUAAAUAUUAUUCUCAUUAUUAUUAUUAUUAUUCCAUUCAUUUAUUUUACAAAUUCCAAUAAUUAAGGUUCAAUUUUUCAAAUUUCCAUUUUCUAAAUUUAAUUUUCAAUCUCAGAAAUUCCACUAUUUACAUUAAGUUGUUUAAUGAUUAUUUUCGUUAUUAUUAUUAUCCUAUUCAUUUAUUUAUUCACUUAUUCAUAUAUUUAAAAUCUCAUCCCCAAAUAAUUUCUCAAAAUGUCAAUCUCUAAAUUCAAAUCUCCAAUCUCUAAAAUUCUAUUUUUCGCAAUUAUUUACCUAAUCUUUAUAAUUUCAUCAUUAUUAUUAUUCCAUUCAUUUAUUUAUUCACUCAUUCGUUAUUUAAGAUUUUGUCUUUAAAUAAUUCUUCAAAAUUCCGAUUCCCAAAUUUAGUUCUCCGAAAUUCCAAUUCCUUUCAAAUUUAAUUUCUAAAAUUCUCAUUCUUGUAUUUAAUUUCAAAAAUUCCAAUUUUCAAAUAAAUUUCAAAAAUCCAGUUUUCCCUUGAACAGUUUUUAAUUUCUAUUUGGUGACGCAUGUGAUAUGUUUUGUGCUCUUUAUUAUACACUAACCUCACUUCUUGAUAGCGCCUCAUGGAUCACUGCCCAGGUACGCAUCUACAUCCGCUCUGGUCAUUUUCGAUAUGCAUGUUUAGAUUCUCACGUGUGCAUGAUUUAUUCUGGGUACUCAUUGAUCUACUCGUCCACUGCCAUGAUUGCUUCAUUUUAUUAGUAGAGACCCGUUUUUAGGGACUUAGAAGGGUGCUACGGUUUUUACCAUACCUUCCUGAUAAGUAACCUGACCCCCGAACCCGAUCUGGUUUUUCACAGACCACCUUUUCCAAAAUAAGGAGUCGCACUUAGGGUUUUCUUUCUUAUUUUGUUUACCCUUUCAAAAAUAAAACAAAAAUAAGUGGCGACUCCAAGUCAUUCUUUUAACCAAUAAAAAUCAUUUUUCAAAUCAAAAUCGAGCUCGCCAUCGAAUGGAAAACGCAUUGAGCCAAAAUGCGGGGUCCACAGAAAUACAAUGAAUGAUAAAAUUUAAUCAUUUGAUGAUAAUUUUCAAGUAAGAUUUAUAACUUUUAUUUUUUUAUAAAAAAAUAUAUAUAUUUAUCAAAAAAAAAAAAAAACCCGGCGACCUAGUAGGGCUUGGACGUCCUAGGUGGUGGUGGCGGCAACCACUGGUGGCUUGGGCUAAAUUUUUUGCUUAUAAUAAUUAUAAAAAUCAAUUUUUUAUUUUAUUUUUUAUAAUAGUUACUAAAUUACUUUUCGUNNNNNNNNNNNNNNNNNNNNNNNNNNNNNNNNNNNNNNNNNNNNNNNNNNNNNNNNNNNNNNNNNNNNNNNNNNNNNNNNNNNNNNNNNNNNNNNNNNNNUAUUUUAUUUUUUAUAAUAGUUACUAAAUUACUUUUCGUUUAUAAUAAUUAGAAAAUUUUUCAUGAUAUAAAUUUUUGCUUAUAAUAAUUAUAAAAUUCUAAUUUUUUUAUUUGUUUAUAAUAUUUAUUAAAUUACAAAUUUUAUGUAGAUGAAAAGGAGGAUAAAAAUAAAAGAAAAAGAAUAUUAAAAUGUGGGUUGGGGGUUGGGAAAAAAAAAAAAGUGUAAUAGGGGCAUGAGGUUGGGGAGAGGAAAUGGUCUUAUGAAUAGUACUUGGAAAAAAAAAUCAUGAAAGUGGAAUCUCGAGAUUAUUCCGUUGAAAUAGAAAUAUCCUCGGAAGCAUAGGGCCAUAGGGGAUAAGGUUACUUUGAAAAUAAUAAUAAUAAAAAACAAAAAAAGAAAGACUGAACAGAAAGUGACGUAGUGCCAGUCUGCCAGAAAAUGCGACAUAACAACACCCCUUGCCCAGUGUGCACCAAUUGGAAAGGUUUUUGGUGGGGUUGAGGGGCCUGUGGUCCUGUGGAUCAAUAAUUCAUUAAUUCUUGGAUGAUGCCGGGGCCGGACUUUUAGUGGAUCAAUAAUGCUUAAAUGAUGAUGACAGGGGCGGGCUGCCUCUGGAUCAAUAAUGCUUGGAUUCAAGUAGUCUUUUUCAAAAAAAAAAAAAAAAUCUCAAACGUUAUUAAAACCACAAUUACUAAUAACAGUCACCAACUCUGACUUUAUAUACUAAAAAAAGGAAAAAAAAAAAAAAAACACGUGCAUAAACAUACGAGAAAUGCUAGAUUGAUAAAUAUUUUUUAAAUAAUUUAUUUUUAUUAUUUUUUCUUCAUAAACACUACUUUAACAUUAAACUUUGAAUGGGAGAUAACCUUCUUUAAAAAUAAAAAUAAAAAGUCCUAAUCCAGACUUUUUUAUUAAAAAUAUUUGUUGAAAUAGUGUGUUCCUACACCAUUAAAUUUGAACUUUAUUAUUAUUUUUAUUUUUUUUAAACUAUAAUUUUACUUUUAAAUUUAAAACCAUAAAUUCUAGAUUUUAAAAACCACUAUUAAUAUUUAUGAUUUUAAAUUUAAAGUUAAAACCACAAUAACUAAUUAUGUCUUAAGAAAAAAUUACGUGAAUGAACAUAUAAAGAUUAAAUUGAUAAAUAUUUUGGGAGAUGAUCUACUUUCAAUAUAUUUUUCUUAAAAAAUACUAUUUAAAAAAAUAAUAAAAAUAAAUCUCUUUUUAAAAUAUUUAUCAAUCUAGUUUUUAUAAUUACAUGUUCAUUCAAACGACUUUUUUUAAUAUAAAAAACAAUAAUUAAUAACUGUGAUUUUAUCUUUAAAUUUAAAAUUAUAAUUAUUGACAAUGAUUUUAAAAACAUUAUUGAUAAUUAUGAUUUUAAAUUUAAAGUUAAAAUAUGAUAAAUUAUAAUUUUAAAAAAUAAUAAUAAUAAAGUUAAAUUUAAUAUUAUAUUAACGUACUAAUUUGACAAAUAUGUCCAAGAUUUAUAAUUUUUUUUUUAAAAACGGAUUACUUUGACCGGAACUCGCAUUCAACUCUCAUAUUUCACUCCUUUAUGUCACCAUAUCGUGGAUAAGAUCAUAAGAAUAUUUUAUGGUAACUACCUCCUUAGGUACCGUACCAAAAUAUUUUUUAAGCCAUUGAUGUCCAAGCAUCUUGGCCAUCCAUUUUAAAUUUGCAAAACAAAAAUGCACUUAACCUUCUCAACAAUUUUGGGUUUAAAUAAAAUAAAUAUGAAACAAAAAUAGAAUUGAAUAAAAAUAAAAAUAAAAUUGAUAUAAAAUUUGUUAAAAAUAUUUAUUAACAAAAAAAAAAAAUCAUCACAUAUCAUAUUACAUUAUUUUAUUUUUAAUAAAUCAUGAAAUAUUUAAAUUCGACAUAAAAAAUGAAUAUGAUAAUAUUUUAAUAUAAAAUGAUUAUUUGCAUUAAAAGUCAACAUUUUAGAUAAUCUUAUGUAAAGUUUAGGUAAUUAGACCGUGGUAAUAUUUUUCAUACCAAACAUGAAAAAUGCUAUGAAAAUACCAAACAUGUAUUUAUCACAUUCUUUGUACCAUCUCUCAUAUUUUUUGUAUCCUUGAAAUUUUAUAAUUUUUUGAAUUUUUUUACUUAGAAAUACAAUAAUAUUCUUUAUUAAUACUAAUUAAGCUUAUGAAUAAUGAAAAUUAUUCUUAAAAAAUUUUAAAUUUAAAACAUUAAGUAAUUAUAGAGGGUACCAAGAAUUCCUCACAUUCUUCAUAUAUUUUUUAAUAUUUUUUUACCCUCGAAAUUUUACAAUUUUUAGAAAUUUUUUUCAACUUAGAAGUAUAAUAAUAUUGUUUAUUGAUACUAAUUAAGCUUUUAAAUUAUGAAAAUUAUUUUUAAAAAAAAAUUAAUUUAAAAUGCUAAGUAAUUGUAGAGGGUACUAAUAAUGUGAUAAAAGGUAUGAAGAAUGUGAGAAUUAAUACAUACUUCAUACUUUCAAAAUUUUACAAUUUUUUCGAUUUUUUUUUUCCACUUAGAAAUACAAUAAUAUUGCUUAUUAAUAUUAAUUAAGCUUAGAAAUUAUGAAAAUUAUUCUAAAAAAACUAAAAAAUUAAAACACCAAGUAAUUGUAAAAGGUACCAAGAACGUAAUGAUUUCUCAUAUUCUUUGUACGUUUUCUCACAUUCCUCCUAUUUUCGAAAUUUUAUAAUUUUUUGAAUUUAUUUUCCACUUAGAAAUACAAUAAUAAUGUUUAUUGGUAUUAAUUAAACUUAGAAAUGAUGUAAAUUAUUCUAAAAAAAUUUAGAAAAUUAGAAAAUUAAAACACUAAAAAAUUUGAAAAUGUACAAAAAAAAAGAGGAAGAAGUGAGUAAUGGUACAAAGAAUGUAAGGAUUCUUUGUUCCCUUUCUCACAUUUUUUGUAUCAUUGAAAUUUUAUAAUUUUAAGAUUUUUUUUUCAUUUAGAAAAUACAAUAAUAUUUUUUAUUAAUACUAAUUAAGUUUAGAAAUAAUGAAAAUUAUCCUUAAAAAUUUAAAAACUAAACCACCGAAAAUUUGGAGAGGGUAGAAGAAAGUGAGGAAGGGUAUAAAGAAUGUGAGAAUCCUAACAUUCUUUGUAUCAUUCCUCAUAUUUUGUGUACUUUAAGAAUUUUACAUUUUUUCAAAAUUUUCUAUUUUUUUUUUUACUUUGAAAUACAAUAAUAUUAUUUAUCCAUACCAAUUAACUUUAUAAAUGAUGAAAAUUAUUCUUAAAAAAAUAAAAAUUUUAAAACACUAAGUAAUUAUAGAGGGUAGAAAUAAUGUGAGGCUUGAAAUUUU